UGGGGAAUUUUGGACAAUGGGGGAAACCCUGAUCCAGCCAUCCCGCGUGUGCGAUGAAGGCCUUCGGGUUGUAAAGCACUUUUGGCAGGAAAGAAACGUCAUGGGUUAAUACCCCGUGAAACUGACGGUACCUGCAGAAUAAGCACCGGCUAACUACGUGCCAGCAGCCGCGGUAAUACGUAGGGUGCAAGCGUUAAUCGGAAUUACUGGGCGUAAAGCGUGCGCAGGCGGUUCGGAAAGAAAGAUGUGAAAUCCCAGAGCUCAACUUUGGAACUGCAUUUUUAACUACCGGGCUAGAGUGUGUCAGAGGGAGGUGGAAUUCCGCGUGUAGCAGUGAAAUGCGUAGAUAUGCGGAGGAACACCGAUGGCGAAGGCAGCCUCCUGGGAUAACACUGACGCUCAUGCACGAAAGCGUAGGGAGCAAACAGG
Molecule: ribosomal RNA, 429 nt
Filed under: Acidobacteriota bacterium
Lineage: Bacteria; Pseudomonadati; Acidobacteriota
Description: Acidobacteria bacterium partial 16S ribosomal RNA
Rfam family: Bacterial small subunit ribosomal RNA
Source: RNAcentral